RNAcentral lists this ribosomal RNA (310 nucleotides) under uncultured soil bacterium. Its description in RNAcentral is "bacterial SSU rRNA". It matches the Rfam family "Bacterial small subunit ribosomal RNA", at positions 26 to 334 of the family's 1533-position model. The record is from RNAcentral.
AGAUUGAACGCUGGCGGCAUGCCUUACACAUGCAAGUCGAACGGCAGCACGGGAGCAAUCCUGGUGGCGAGCGGCGAACGGGUGAGUAACGCGUGGAUAACCUGCCCUGAGGUGUGGAACAACCAGGGGAAACUCUGGCUAAUACCGCAUGAUACCGAGAGGUCAAAGGGGGCUCGCAAGAGCUCUCGCCACAGGAGGGUCCGCGUUCGAUUAGCUAGUUGGUAGGGUAAUGGCCUACCAAGGCGACGAUCGAGUACGCCGGCCUGAGGAGGGUGAUCCGGCCACACGUGGAACUGAGACGACGGUCCAG